UUGACCUCGGAUCAGGUAGGGAUACCCGCUGAACUUAAGCAUAUCAAUAAGCGGAGGAAAAGAAACCAACAGGGAUUGCCUCAGUAACGGCGAGUGAAGCGGAAAAGCCCUCCAAUAAAA
Molecule: ribosomal RNA, 120 nt
Filed under: Hypotrachyna nepalensis
Lineage: Eukaryota; Fungi; Ascomycota; Lecanoromycetes; Lecanorales; Parmeliaceae
Description: partial 28S ribosomal RNA
Rfam family: Eukaryotic large subunit ribosomal RNA
Source: RNAcentral